AACCAAGCUUUCAUUCCCUGCAAAUAAAGAUUUCCCAACAGGGGAAUUUGAUAAAACAUAGAUAUGAGCUAAUGUAGUUGAUGAGCAAUACGAAGAACCACAACACAAUUUCUACUUUGAUUGAAAUACUUAACGAAUCAAAAUAACCAUGAAUAAUAAUAAUAUAUAACUAUAUUUGUUGUUUACAUGAUGAAUUGAUGAUAUGUUAUUUGUGAAGGGAUGAAAAAGAAGAUGAAGGAAGCCAUUGAUAUUCAUGUUGAUGAUACCUACACUUGAACGAUCUUGGAUGCUUCGACGGUGAACACACACACUUUUUCUUUCCAUCGCCACUGUUACCACCGUUACGGUGACCAGCGGUGGCUUCCACAUCUAUUGCCACCGUCACUUCUG
Molecule: long non-coding RNA, 390 nt
Organism: Arabidopsis thaliana (thale cress)
Lineage: Eukaryota; Viridiplantae; Streptophyta; Magnoliopsida; Brassicales; Brassicaceae
Product: other RNA
Exons: 1
Source: RefSeq